AUUCCAGCUCCAAUAGCGUAUAUUUAAGUUGUUGCAGUUAAAAAGCUCGUAGUUGGAUUUCGGGUGGGUGUUAGCGGUCCGGCUCUGCUGUGUACUGCUAGUGCCUAUCUUUCUGUCGGGGACGGGCUCUUGGGCUUCAUUGUCCGGGACUCGGAGUCGACGUGGUUACUUUGAGUAAAUUAGAGUGUUCAAAGCAAGCGUUCGCUGUGAAUACAUUAGCAUGGAAUAACACGAUAGGACUCUGGCUUAUCUUGUUGGUCUGUAAGACCGGAGUAAUGAUUAGGAGGGACAGUCGGGGGCAUUCGUAUUUCAUUGUCAGAGGUGAAAUUCUUGGAUUUAUGAAAGACGAACUUCUGCGAAAGCAUUUGCCAAGGAUGUUUUCGUUAAUCAAGAACGAAAGUUGGGGGCUCGAAGACGAUUAGAUACCGUCGUAGUCUCAACCAUAAACGAUGCCGACUAGGGAUUGGCAGGUGUUUCGUUGAUGACCCUGCCAGCACCUUAUGAGAAAUCAAAGUUUUUGGGUUCCGGGGGGAGUAUGGUCGCAAGGCUGAAACUUAAAGGAAUUGACGGAAGGGCACCACCAGGCGUGGAGCCUGCGGCUUAAUUUGACUCAACACGGGGAAACUUACCAGGUCCAGACACGGGGAGGAUUGACAGAUUGAGAGCUCUUUCUUGAUUCUGUGGGUGGUGGUGCAUGGCCGUUCUUAGUUAGUGGGUUGCCUUGUCAGGUUGAUUCCGGUAACGAACGAGACCUCAGCCUGCUAAAUAGUCACGGCUACUUUUUUGUAGCCGUCCGACUUCUUAGAGGGACUAUUGUCGUUUAGGCAAUGGAAGUGUGAGGCAAUAA
RNAcentral lists this ribosomal RNA (847 nucleotides) under uncultured eukaryote. RNAcentral describes it as "SSU rRNA". It matches the Rfam family "Eukaryotic small subunit ribosomal RNA", at positions 582 to 1456 of the family's 1831-position model. The record is from RNAcentral.